AGGCGCGUAGCUCAGUUGGUUAGAGCGCUUCCUUGACACGGAAGAGGUCAGCGGUUCGAAUCCGCUCGUGCCUACCA
This 77-nucleotide transfer RNA is filed under the name Silvibacterium sp. RNAcentral describes it as "tRNA-Val". It matches the Rfam family "tRNA". Rfam says of the family: Transfer RNA (tRNA) molecules are approximately 80 nucleotides in length. Their secondary structure includes four short double-helical elements and three loops (D, anti-codon, and T loops). Lineage: Bacteria; Pseudomonadati; Acidobacteriota; Terriglobia; Terriglobales; Acidobacteriaceae. The record is from RNAcentral. RNAcentral also lists the same sequence under 5 other names.